GACGAACGCUGGCGGCGUGCCUAAUACAUGCAAGUCGAACGCAGUGGGGACGGGUGAGUAACACGUUGGUAACCUCCCAUCAGAGCGGAUAACACUUGGAAACAGGUGCUAAACCGAAAUUGAUGGAUGGACCCGCGGUGCAUUAGCUAGUGGGUGAGGUAACGGCCCACCAAGGCCAUGAUGCAUAGCCGUCCUGGGAGGGUGAUCGGCCACACUGGGCCGGAGACACGGCCCAGACUCCUAGGGGAGGAAGCGGUGGGGAAUCUUCGGCAAUGGACGAAAGCCUGACCGAGCAAGGCCGCGGGAGUGAAGAAGGUUUUCGGAUCGUAAAACUCUUUUGUUAGAGAAGCGGUAUCUAACCAGAAAGCCACGGCUAACUACGUGCCAGCAGCCGCGGUAAUAC
Molecule: ribosomal RNA, 403 nt
Filed under: uncultured bacterium
Lineage: Bacteria
Description: partial 16S ribosomal RNA
Rfam family: Bacterial small subunit ribosomal RNA
Source: RNAcentral